AGUCCUGGAAAUGAUCUUGAUGCUAUCUGUUCCUCGUUACAGCAGACCUGCUCAACUUCAGCAGCUAGAAGGAGGAUUGUCUUUCACCAGCUGCAGGAGCCUGUUCCCACUACAAGCCUGGUGGAGUCUUCGGAGCAGAUGUGACUGUCCUACUUGUAUAGAGAAGAGAAACUGAGGCUCAGAAGAGAUGCCUGGCUGAGUUUAAUAGGACUGCAACAACAAUUUUGCCUUUCUACUUUCUGGUACAGUGGUCUUUCCUUUGCCAUCAUGCCUCAGCAUAUCCAUGUUAGUAAAUUCUCCCAGUUGGGGAAAAGCUUGGCAGCAAUGAAAGUUAAUGUGAUGAAUCAUUUAGAUGGACAGAUUGGAAAAAUGUUGUUCCUUUUGCAUGUGAUGUUCUUGCCAGAAAUCAAGUAGGUGGAGUUUUUGAAGCGUGAUCAGUUAGAUAAGUAUGGUGGUUUUAAAUAAUCAAGCAUGGAGCCAUACCGGUUAUGUUUAAUUUAUAACAAAAUCAGACAAUUCAGGCAUGAUGUUGAACUCAUUGAGCUUGGCUCACUACUACAUUUCUCUCACCAAAAGCAAUGACUAUAAAGAGUUACAAAUACCAUGACCUUAUAUCAUAAAGCAUAAAUUAUUCCAGGAAGUUUUCCAUUUAAGUCAACUUCUCAAAAUCUUAGGAGAAAACUACCAAUAUUCAGUUCAAACCCCAGAGGCUUAAGGAAAAAUAUUAAUGUUGAAAUAGCAAGUAAGUGGUAGUAUCCUCGCUGUAUGCACAAUUGCAUCUGCUCGGGGGUUAGUCUUUCUUUAGCUCCUGUCUACAACUCACACCAGUCUCCAUAAAAGAAAUGAGGUCUCACUGAUACCAUCUAGCUUAAUGAGAUAAAAAUCCUGGUGAUCUCUGCAAGAAAAUAAAACUAAGAUAAACUAGUAUCUGCUACUGAUAAAUAUUUAACAGAUGUGGUCCAAAUCCCUCUGCCAGCUGGAGGAAGGAAAAAAGUUCUAUUUUACUGCUUGGAUAUAAUUAUUGGCCACAUUUCUCCAAGCAAAGACAGUGACAUUGGCUCACUCCCCAGGAGAACUUUCUUCUGAUCUUGGCACUAGGAUUUGCUUUUCUUUAACAGAUUGCAGCAAUAUACCCUUCAUUUGACCCAGUUUAUUCAUUCAAAAGAUACCUGGAGCCAAAACCAUGUAUGAGAAAUAGCAAAGGAAGAGGCAGGCACAAGCUGUGUUUAUAUACCCACCAAAGGACUACAGCAAAACACAUAUAUUCUAGUCAGCUCUGAGUGCACCUGUCUGUGUCAACAGUAGACCAGCGUGGUCUGGCAGAUGACCAUAUGACCCAGCUGAUUCACUCCGGAGUUAGAGGAACUUUUCCCAGACCCUGAAAGUCACCUUUUUAGACAACUUCGCAAACAGCCAUCCUUGUUCACGGUAUCAUGCCCCUUGUCACUGCUAAACAGACCGUUUGCAAAGAAAUUUCCUAAACAUCACCACUGAGGCUCCUUCCAGCAAUGACUCUGGUCCAUCAUUGGGAUUGCUGAGCAGCUGUUUCAUAACAUGAACAAGGAUGUUUUAACCAUGUUUCUUGACCUGGCCAUUUGGAUCCCAAGGAUGUUUUGGUCCAAGAAUAAAUUCCAGAGCUUAGGUAGGUUACAUACCACAACUAUAUUCAUUUCCUACUUCUAUUCUUUCUCUGUGCAAUCCUUUUCCUAGCACUGUAACUGAAAGUAUUUUUCUAAAACAUUAAUGUGAUCAUACUAUGUCUCUGCUGAAAAGCCAUCAAUCACUAUCUACCUAUUACUGACAAAAACAUGACAUUCUGAUCCCACCUGAUCUGCUCUUUCUCAUCAACAACUCUUCUCCUUAUGUAAUUUCUCACCUGGUGACCAACCACACCCUGCAUGUGCUAUACAUUCAUUUAUGCUUUUUCACCUGCUCAAGGCCCCCAGAAUUAUUUUCAAGUAUUAUUUUUCCCAACACAAAGCAUCAGUCGAUACCUGUAGUAAGUCUGAAGCAUCUCAGAAGCAUUUAUUGACAACCCAGUCUUCUACUCUCCUCUGCCUCCAAACACACAGCACAUACAUUUUGUCCCAAACAUUUGUAGGCCAUCAUUGUCUUUUGCCUGGCAUUUCUUUACUAAUUAAUAUAUAUUUUUAUUCAUGUGUGUAUAUUUAUCUCACCAAUAUUUGGGAGCAGAGCCUAUGUGUUAUUUUAGUUAUACAGGUUGUUGGGUGAUAUGGCUGUGAACCUGAUAUGCUAUAGAUUAUAAGGGGAGGUGGAACCUGUCACACUUCCUCUUCCUCCAUCACUGGUUGUCUGUCUCAAAGCUCACCGAAGAAGACAGGAAAACUUGUCAGAUGGGGAAGGAUGUGUCAAGAGCAUGCACACAGAUUUACUCUUCAGCUAGAAGCUCCAAUUCCUAGAUGAUCUGAAUCCAACUCAGAGUGCUUGCACCUGUUUCCUGCCACACAGCUAGAGCUGUGUCCCUCUAGGUUCUCUGAUUGGCUGAAGCUACUCUAAGCCAAGAGAUCAAAGAAGCUGAUAAUGUAGAAUGUAAGUUUGUCUCCUGGGCCACAAUGGAAAGCAGAGACUGUAGCUGGAGGAGUGAAUAGAGGAUAUGCAGCUCUGGUAAUUCUCAGUACAAUUCCCAGUGGUCCACUCUGCAGAAUGAACCAAGUUCCAUUUUGCCCAACUUCUGGCAGUCCACAUUUGGACUGUGAGCUCACCUACAGAUAAAUCGUACGUGGAUUGAUGCAGUAACUGGAUUUGUAGCUGCUAAAUCUUAUUUAAGUGAGGACCUGUCCAGUACAUGUGAAGACCACCCAUCCACUGAAAGUGAUAAGUGAAGCUGAAUCAAUACUAGACUGAAUCAAUACUGAGCUGAAUCAAUACUUUCCCAAUUUUGAGGAAAUCUUGGAAAAUCUCUGAGAAAUGUGGUAGUAAUUAUUUUGAAGAAUUGGAAAACUUUAUAGCUGAUUAUGCUAUGUGUGGAAGAUACAACAGGAUUAUAAGAGAGAGAAGACAAUAUCCUUGCUGUGUCCAGAAGGCUUUAGCCGGGGUGUCCUACUGAGAGAUGACAAACUUAAGGUUUUUCUCUUCCCAGACAUUACUGGACAACUAGCUAUGUAAUUAGGUCUUAUGCCGAAAAGACUGAAAGGAAAACAUCUCAGAUCUAGGAAUGUGAUCAAGAAAGAAGGCUGGUUAAAGAAUAACAUGGGGAAAAUGAAUGCAGUGAAAUGGUUCACGCACAAGUUCUAGGAAUUCAGAGUGCAACAGCAGAAAUGCGAUUUUUGUUAGAUAUUUCAGAAAGUGAUGUGAGUCCCUGAGGUCAUACUGCAGCGUUCAGGUUCUGUUUGGCCUCCUGCACGAAGCUUUCCUUGAUUGGAAAAGCUGCAUACUCUGAAGCACAUCGCAUGUGUCCUGUCUGUAGUUCAUUUCAUUUCCCCAGAUUUGUUAUCAUCCACCAUCACUCAUACAAGCCUACCUUCUUCAUGCCAACCUUUGUAAUCUUUCUACCUUGCUAACCUGGUCAUGUCAAGGACCAGCUAAUAAAUAGCAAAGUUGUACCUUGAGCCAAGGUAUCUUGACUCUUAGUCCAGUGCUCUUUAUAUACCUCUGAAGUCUUAUUUGAGCUUCAAAAUUAUGAGUCUGUGCUCUCAAGAUUUUUUUGAAAAUGUACUUAAUGUUGCCCCUAAGCUUUUAUGAGAAAUAAUAAAGUUCUUUCCAGAUUGAAUAUCUAAUAACUCCAUUUCAUUUUAUGCUUUCUCAUGUAUGGAUGUCUAUAACUGGAAUGCUAUUUGGGCUACUGAGAUAUUUUCUUAAUUCUCUGUUUUGUGUUAGUUCUUUUUGUUUGUUUAUUUGACAACCAUAUUUUUGCACCUGAGAUAAAUCUGGCAUUCUAUUCAACUUCAAUUUCAAAGAGAAUCUGAGAAUGUACUGGUAGAACGAUAUUUGAAUACUAAUAUCUUGGAAAUACAGAAAUAAGUAUCAUACAUUUUGUUACAUUCUGUUUGUGUACAAAUAAUAUAAAAAUCAAUGAAUGAGAAUUUCAUAUUUGAAUUGUAUAUGGAUUGAUGCAAUAACUUGAUUUAGACAAUACUUUUUAUGAAGA
This 4108-nucleotide long non-coding RNA is filed under the name Homo sapiens (human). RNAcentral's name for it is "non-protein coding lnc-NTSR2-5:14". The record is from RNAcentral. Lineage: Eukaryota; Metazoa; Chordata; Mammalia; Primates; Hominidae.